Molecule: ribosomal RNA, 520 nt
Filed under: uncultured Glomus
Lineage: Eukaryota; Fungi; Glomeromycota; Glomeromycetes; Glomerales; Glomeraceae
Description: SSU rRNA
Rfam family: Eukaryotic small subunit ribosomal RNA
Source: RNAcentral
AGCAGCCGCGGUAAUUCCAGCUCCAAUAGCGUAUAUUAAAGUUGUUGCAGUUAAAAAGCUCGUAGUUGAAUUUCGGGAUCAAUUAAUUGGUCGUGCCUCUGGUACGUACUGAUUUUAUUGGUUUCUCCCUUCUGACGAACCAUGAUGUCAUUAAUUUGAUGUCGUGGAGAAUCAGGACUGUUACUUUGAAAAAAUUAGAGUGUUUAAAGCAAGCUAACGCUUGAAUACAUUAGCAUGGAAUAAUGAAAUAGGACGUUUGAUCCUAUUUUGUUGGUUUCUAGGAUCGACGUAAUGAUUAAUAGGGAUAGUUGGGGGCAUUAGUAUUCAAUUGUCAGAGGUGAAAUUCUUGGAUUUAUUGAAGACUAACUACUGCGAAAGCAUUUGCCAAGGAUGUUUUCAUUAAUCAAGAACGAAAGUUAGGGGAUCGAAGACGAUCAGAUACCGUCGUAGUCUUAACCAUAAACUAUGCCGACUAGGGAUCGGAUGAUGUUAAUUUUUAAUGACUCAUUCGGCGCCUUAC